GAUGAACGCUAGCUACAGGCUUAACACAUGCAAGUCGAGGGGCAGCGGGAUUGAAGCUUGCUUCAAUUGCCGGCGACCGGCGCACGGGUGAGUAACGCGUAUCCAACCUUCCGUACACUCAGGGAUAGCCUUUCGAAAGAAAGAUUAAUACCUGAUGGUAUGAUGAGAUUGCAUGAUAUCAUCAUUAAAGAUUUAUCGGUGUACGAUGGGGAUGCGUUCCAUUAGGUAGUAGGCGGGGUAACGGCCCACCUAGCCAACGAUGGAUAGGCGUUCUGAGAGGAAGGUCCCCCACAUUGGAACUGAGACACGGUCCAAACUCCUACGGGAGGCAGCAGUGAGGAAUAUUGGUCAAUGGACGAGAGUCUGAACCAGCCAAGUAGCGUGAAGGAUGAAGGUCCUACGGAUUGUAAACUUCUUUUAUAAGGGAAUAAACCCUCCCACGUGUGGGAGCUUGUAUGUACCUUAUGAAUAAGCAUCGGCUAACUCCGUG
Molecule: ribosomal RNA, 490 nt
Filed under: uncultured bacterium
Lineage: Bacteria
Description: partial 16S ribosomal RNA
Rfam family: Bacterial small subunit ribosomal RNA
Source: RNAcentral